GGGGCUGUAGCUCAGUGGUAGAGCACUUGCCUCACAUAUGUGAAGCACUGGGUUCGAUCCUCAGCACCACCU
Ictidomys tridecemlineatus (thirteen-lined ground squirrel) is the source of this 72-nucleotide non-coding RNA. The record is from Rfam. Lineage: Eukaryota; Metazoa; Chordata; Mammalia; Rodentia; Sciuridae.